UGAUUGGCGAGCGGUCGGGCGCUACGCGGAGUCAGGUCAGGUCGCGUGGGCUCGGUUUGGCGGUCGCGGCGCGGGGACCCUCUGCCUCCGGGAGGAGUCCCUCUGAGCGUCCCGGACUCCCUUCCCUGGCGGAAGUGCUGUGCCGGUUCCAAUUCCGACGCUGCCGGUCGGCGGAUUACUUGCUGGUCAUCAGGAGGAAAACAAGGACAGUGGGAAAAUGUGGCCUCUCCCAUCUUAGCCUAGAUGAAUCUUACUGGCACGAAACGUGGGCCGUGACAUUGUUGUGUCUCCAGCAUCAUCUGUGAGUAUUGUUCCCCCAAAUCUUUAACUUCAGCAUACUAAAGCAGGAACUACAGGAUUGAAGGG
Myotis davidii is the source of this 366-nucleotide long non-coding RNA. RefSeq lists it as uncharacterized. The record is from RefSeq and is a predicted model, not a curated record. Lineage: Eukaryota; Metazoa; Chordata; Mammalia; Chiroptera; Vespertilionidae. The transcript has 3 exons.